UAGAUGAUCCCUGACCUCCC
This 20-nucleotide non-coding RNA is filed under the name Mus musculus (house mouse). The record is from RNAcentral. Lineage: Eukaryota; Metazoa; Chordata; Mammalia; Rodentia; Muridae.